UACGUAGGGUGCGAGCGUUACUCGGAAUUACUGGGCGUAAAGCGUGCGCAGGCGGUUUUGUAAGCCAGAUGUGAAAUCCCCGAGCUUAACUUGGGAACUGCAUUUGGGACUGCAAGGCUAGAGUACGGCAGAGGGGGGUAGAAUUCCUGGUGUAGCAGUGAAAUGCGUAGAUAUCAGGAGGAAUACCGAUGGCGAAGGCAGCCCCCUGGGUCGAUACUGACGCUCAUGCACGAAAGCGUGGGGAGCAACCAGG
RNAcentral lists this ribosomal RNA (253 nucleotides) under uncultured bacterium. RNAcentral's name for it is "partial 16S ribosomal RNA". It matches the Rfam family "Bacterial small subunit ribosomal RNA", at positions 524 to 776 of the family's 1533-position model. The record is from RNAcentral.